GGAAAGGAUGAAGCUCAAUGGUAGAGCAUCUGCUUUAUAUGAAAAUAGCCCCAGGUUCAAUUGCUGGCAUCUCCA
Podarcis lilfordi (Lilford's wall lizard) is the source of this 75-nucleotide non-coding RNA. NCBI's taxonomy places the organism in Eukaryota, Metazoa, Chordata, Lepidosauria, Squamata, Lacertidae. The record is from the annotation of a GenBank genome assembly.